UCGAGAAUUUUUCACAAUGGGCGCAAGCCUGAUGGAGCAACGCCGCGUGGGGGAUGAAUGGCUUCGGCCCGUAAACCCCUGUCAUUCGCGAUCAAACCUCAAUAUUUAAAAGAUGUUGGGCUGAUAGUAGCGGAAGAGGAAGGGACGGCUAACUCUGUG
RNAcentral lists this ribosomal RNA (159 nucleotides) under uncultured bacterium. RNAcentral describes it as "partial 16S rRNA". It matches the Rfam family "Bacterial small subunit ribosomal RNA", at positions 355 to 507 of the family's 1533-position model. The record is from RNAcentral.